This 253-nucleotide ribosomal RNA is filed under the name uncultured bacterium. RNAcentral describes it as "partial 16S ribosomal RNA". It matches the Rfam family "Bacterial small subunit ribosomal RNA", at positions 524 to 776 of the family's 1533-position model. The record is from RNAcentral.
UACGUAGGGUGCGAGCGUUAAUCGGAAUUACUGGGCGUAAAGCGUGCGCAGGCGGUUUUGUAAGCCGGAUGUGAAAUCCCCGGGCUUAACCUGGGAAUGGCAUUCGGGACUGCAAGGCUGGAGUGCGGCAGAGGAGACUGGAAUUCCUGGUGUAGCAGUGAAAUGCGUAGAUAUCAGGAGGAACACCGAUGGCGAAGGCAGGUCUCUGGGCUGACACUGACGCUGAGAAGCGAAAGCAUGGGGAGCGAACAGG